UAAGAUUUUUAACAAACAAUUCUCCCCUUUGAAGUAGACUUAGUAAAAUUAGCAUAUAAAUGAGCAAUGCUGCUACAUAAGGACAUGUGGCUGGAGAGGAGGGAUAAUUGGCUGAGGGGGCUAGUUUCUAAAUGAGGUCGUUUGCUGAGUGACCGGCAGACUACAGGUGUGCUGUGUUCUGUGAGCUGUGCAGUGCUCUGUGAUAGGAUCCUCCAUACAUCUCCUCAGAGCUGCCUUUGCUGGGCCUGUGAAGGACCAUUAUGCUGAAAUAGCUGCACCAGUGGCUGCUGACAAGAGCUGCAUGAGCUGAAUUCACUGACCUCCAAAAGCCAGAACAAGGAUUUAAUAUGGUGCUAGCAGGUUAACAUUAGGAUUUUGAGCUUCAGAACUUUUUAUUUCACCAAAAUCGUUGGAAUUUCCUACCCCAGUGGGAAACUGCCACCUUGUUACAUGUUACCUUGGACACCCUCCUCUCUUCAUGAAUGAGGCAGCUCUCUUGGGACCAAAACACCCUUGUCCUUCCAUGGCAGGGACACGUGGCUGGAGGUCUCUCAGUAGCAGCACUUGCUAAUGUACUAAAAUGAAAAAAAAUAACUUAAGUAUGGAUGUUUUGAGUCAGCUUUCAACAAAAAUUUCUCAGUGUGCUUGAAGCAAUCAUGUUCUGUUCACUUGCUCCUUUAUGCAAUUUAAUAAAAAUUGAACUUGAGAUUUACAGAGGACAGUAGACCAUGAUCCCAGGGGCACCUGAAUAGCAAACGGGACAGUCUGUUCCGUGUGGAACAAAACCAAGCUCUAAUUCCCUGUGACUUGCUUUGAGGAUAGGUACAGACUGAGUUUCUGCAGAAAACAUCAGCACAUUCUGGAGGCACUCAUGAUCCUUUGGCCCAGAUACUACUGAGAUCACCUUUGCACUUACCUGUAUAGGAGACCAGAUUGGGCCCUCUUCAGUGUAACCCUCAUGUAACAUGGGAGGCUGAAGGCUGAAUCCAGCUCUUCUACAUCUUAACUGAGUGUUAAGGGCAA
Molecule: long non-coding RNA, 1023 nt
Organism: Cyanistes caeruleus (blue tit)
Lineage: Eukaryota; Metazoa; Chordata; Aves; Passeriformes; Paridae
Source: RefSeq, a predicted model, not a curated record